Molecule: long non-coding RNA, 265 nt
Organism: Myzus persicae (green peach aphid)
Lineage: Eukaryota; Metazoa; Arthropoda; Insecta; Hemiptera; Aphididae
Exons: 2
Source: RefSeq, a predicted model, not a curated record
GACUACCGCAUACCAACACUGCACGACAACACUGCAGUAGAUAAAAAAGCAUUUUUUUAUUGUUUUUUUUUUUUUGUACUUCGAUUAGUGAUUUGUUUUGGAAGUGUGUAAAAAUGAAAACGGGAUUGUAAUUAAAAUUCACCGUGGUCUAGAUCGUUGCGAGUGAUCCGAGUGUGACUCGGUGAUCGUUGGUGUUCAAUCCCCAAGAUACAGGAUGCCUACUGUGGAUGUCCCUGAAAUCCGUGUAAAAACGGCUUUCAAUGGG